UCAGAGAAGAAGAUCUGACGGUAUCUGAGGAAUAAGCAUCGGCUAACUCCGUGCCAGCAGCCGCGGUAAUACGGGGGAUGCAAGCGUUAUCCGGAAUUAUUGGGCGUAAAGCGUCCCGAGGUGGCUUACCCAGUCGACUGUGAAAGCUCAGGGCUUAACCUUGAAACUGCAGUCGAAACUUGUAAGCUUGAGUACGGUAGAGGCAGAGGGAAUUCCCGGAGGAGAGGUGAAAUUCGUAGAUAUCGG
This 246-nucleotide ribosomal RNA is filed under the name uncultured Armatimonadaceae bacterium. RNAcentral's name for it is "partial 16S ribosomal RNA". It matches the Rfam family "Bacterial small subunit ribosomal RNA", at positions 439 to 700 of the family's 1533-position model. Lineage: Bacteria; Bacillati; Armatimonadota; Armatimonadia; Armatimonadales; Armatimonadaceae. The record is from RNAcentral.